RNAcentral lists this ribosomal RNA (253 nucleotides) under uncultured bacterium. RNAcentral describes it as "partial 16S ribosomal RNA". It matches the Rfam family "Bacterial small subunit ribosomal RNA", at positions 524 to 776 of the family's 1533-position model. The record is from RNAcentral.
UACGGAGGGUGCAAGCGUUGUCCGGAUUUAUUGGGUUUAAAGGGUGCGUAGGCGGCUUUGUAAGUCAGUGGUGAAAUAUGGCAGCUUAACUGUCAGGGUGCCAUUGAUACUGCGGAGCUUGAGUACAGAUGAGGUAGGCGGAAUUGACGGUGUAGCGGUGAAAUGCUUAGAUAUCGUCAAGAACACCUAUAGCGAAGGCAGCUUACUAGGCUGUAACUGACGCUGAGGCACGAAAGUGUGGGGAUCAAACAGG